GUGUUUUAGUGCCCCAUAGAGUCCAGCGUCUGACCGAAGACUAGAAUCUCAACUACACUGAAACCAGUUAAUUGUACAGUUUGAGCUAUUGUAGUUUAGAGAACCUUUAAAUGCAGGUAUAUAAAAUAUUCCAUGUACAAAGAAUUCUUUUAAUACCCCAUGUGUUUUACAUAACUGAUGGUGCAAGUACAUUUUAUAACUUUUAACUUUUAACUUUCACUGUUCUGUAGUGCAUCAACAGAAGUAGUUUGACUGAACCGCUGACAGGUCUUUAAAUUUCACAUUUGUGCGAGCUGGAAAGACGAAGUCACAACAACGUACAGCUGGAUAUAAAAGACUUAAGAGGCAACACGUCGUACAUACACUAGAUGGCACCACGCCUACACAAGUGUCCACAUGCUGGACAUUAAGCAGCACCAAAAAGGUAGACCAAAGAGAUUAAAAAUAAAUAUUUAUUCUUUUUAAAACAGCAAAUAUCCACAGGACAACAGCUGCAUCUGUUUGGAGGAAGAGCAAUGUCAGAAACAGUGUUCAAGCGAAUGGAAGAUUAGGAAGUAAUCAUUUUUCCCAGCCGGAUCCUCUUCCACACGGCUUUGGGAUGAACACGCCGGACUGGCUUGUAUGAUGCCGAUGGUUGCUGGGGGGCCGCGAAGGCCUGCUGCGGCACCGAGGGACGCUGGGGGGGCAGGUAGGCCUGCCCUGGCACUACCGGGUGUGGGGGGUCCAGGUAGAUCUGCUGCGGCACCGAGGGACGCUGGGGGGGCAGGUAGGCCUGCCCUGGCACUACCGGGUGUGGGGGGUCCAGGUAGAUCUGCUGCGGCACAGAGGGACGCAGGGGGUCCAGGUAGGCCUUCCCCGGCGCUAAUGGGCGCAGGGGGUCCAGGUAGGCCUGCCCCGGCGCUGAGGGGCGCAGGGGGUCCAGGUAGGCCUGCCCCGGCGCUGAGGGGCGCAGGGGGUCCAGGUAGGCCUGCCCCGGCGCUGAGGGGCGCGGGGGGUCCAGGUAGAUCUGCUGCGGCACCGAGGGACGCUGAGGGAACAGGUAGAUCUGCUGCGGCGCUGAGGGACGCUGAGGGUCCACGUAUUCCUGCUGCCGUACAGGCUGGCGCCCGGGAGCCCUGCCGGUCGGCUUACUGUAUAUCACGCUCUCCUUCUCAGCGGGUUCCUUCAGUUGUAUGAUGGCGUGGCCACCGAAGCGCUCGGGGAUGGAGAUGGGUCCGAAGUGCUGCGCAGAGGUCCUGGACGCAGGGAGGUCACGGGCGCCCUGCGCCGGGUUACUGCCGCGCCAGGGGGUUUUGCGGUAGAUCUUACUGCCGGGCCUCUGCUUGGAGAAGCUCGUUGUUCCACUGGCUUCGUUGGACGCCGUAGACUGGCUGUGACGUUGGGGGAUAAAGGUGACGUGGGGCGCUGAAGCAGGCGUGUAGCUUUGUUGGGCUUGUCCUGCCUUCAUAGGGACCUCUGGGUGUUGGUUUCCAGCCUCCGGCCAACUCGGGAUAUUUCCAUUUCUCUCACUUGUUGGUGAGGACAAACGGGUCGGGUUAGAUGCCUCAGAGCCCAGACGCGAAGACACCAGUGUGGCGAACGCGCUGGCCGAUGUCGCCGUGCGACCAGGGAUUUGGUUUAGCAGAGCAGCAUCUAUGUCAGCAUCCAUGUCCAACAGGCUCAACGGAUAGUUGCCAGUACUCGGUGUAUUUGACCAAGUUCCCCUGCUAAUGGUAGUUUGAUGGUGCGUUUCAAAUGAACCACCACCAAUAAGAGCAGUAGAAAGGCCAAAUAUUUGCAGUGGCAUAGUUUCCUGAUUCAAGUUGGGUUUUGACUCAGAGCUGCUCUGCACCAACCCGGCAAAAACGCUGCUUGGUCUCGGAGCU
Molecule: long non-coding RNA, 1865 nt
Organism: Gasterosteus aculeatus aculeatus (three-spined stickleback)
Lineage: Eukaryota; Metazoa; Chordata; Actinopteri; Perciformes; Gasterosteidae
Source: Ensembl